UCGCGAUGGGCACGCCAAUUUCGUGGUACGCCCCUGGCUCCCGUCGUUGGGGCAGAGAGACACACGACGACGAUCAACCAAAGGAACGAGAGAAGGUACCGGGUGUGCGUGAGGGCAGUGAUCUCUCAGGGAGCGGCGACCUAACAUACGAACGAACGGUGUUCGAUAGAUAUAGGAUAUAUACAUCGUCACGUUCUUUUCUCCGUUGUUUCCUAUGUCGUUGGAUUUUCUACGGUUAGAGAUGUCUACGCACGGGUCCAUGGGAUGCGGCGACGUUCCUGUUCUCACUGGACUACCGAGCAUACGGGGCGGGGCCGUUGCAGUGCAUCGAAAGAGAAAUUUUUCCGGCGGUUGUUGGCCCAGCCCCACGACGAACGGAUACUAGGGUGUUUCCCACAUGAAUGGCAGAGCAGUGGAGGCACAUUGCAAGCAAGCUGCAGCGCUGCAGUAGGCCUGUGGGCCAAGGUUCUCUCUCUCUCCCUUUUCUUCCUCUCUUCCGUACUCCUUUCUACUUGCUUUUUGUCUUGGAUAUUCUCUUUAUCUCGACUACUUUUACAGAUGAAAAACUGCUUGCAACCAGCAACGAAUCAACAAUCACGACUAGGUAUUUCAUUAUUAUUUUUGGGAUAUUUUAUUGAACUUUCCCAUAACGUUAUUUUGUUAUUUUUGUGUCUUCGACGUUCAAGUUGCAGUUGCAUUAAAAUAUCAAUAUAUUUUUUAUUGUAGGAAGUUGCAGAAACUUUAAAAUGAGAAGUCACCCAAUCAGCUGAAAUGGCAGUUAGCCAAACCGCCUCAUAUUCCAGUUUUGUUUAAUUGUUUAGCACGAUACGUUUUAUUUCCCGGAUGCAGAUGCACUCGGGGUCCCCUCCAUUCAGCCACUCUUCUAAGAUCUCCCGAAGUUAACAGGCGUGACCCUUUCCCUUCUGGAGUUUUUCAUGCGGACCCACCUGGUCUUUCAUUGGCCAGGGGCUAAAUGAGAAUUUUUCCGAUAUGGCCUGUUGGGCCGGCCCUCUAUUUAUACGUUUCCCCAUCGAUGGUAGCCACGUUGUACUGCCGCUUUUAUCGUUGCAACUUUUCUGUAUCAAACAAAUUUGUUUCCAUUAUUAUUAAUUCUGCAACCUUUCAUCCUCUUUAUAUUUCGAGUAUAUUAUAUUUUAAAAUUUGUAGAUAUGUAAAGCGUUACUCGAUGGAAAAUGCACUGUUAC
Molecule: unclassified non-coding RNA, 1205 nt
Filed under: Bombus terrestris (buff-tailed bumblebee)
Lineage: Eukaryota; Metazoa; Arthropoda; Insecta; Hymenoptera; Apidae
Description: misc RNA ENSBTSG00005020206.1
Source: RNAcentral